Long non-coding RNA from Helianthus annuus (common sunflower), 1077 nucleotides. RefSeq lists it as uncharacterized. The transcript has 4 exons. The record is from RefSeq and is a predicted model, not a curated record. Lineage: Eukaryota; Viridiplantae; Streptophyta; Magnoliopsida; Asterales; Asteraceae.
UCUUUUUUUCCUUUGAGCGGCAAAUUAUUUCUUCUUCCUACGCUCUUUAUGUUUUUGAAACCGCCAGAAUUUUAGAAACUAAUCAAUUCUCUCAAUCAAUUGAAAUCAUUAUCCACCCAAACCCUAAAUCAUUCUUUCAACGGUUUCUCUUCAAAUCUUCAGAAACCCUAAUACAUUAUUUCCUAAAUGGUAUGGGAUGAAUACUCUCAAGUUUAAUGUCUAUCAACGUGAAUAAAAGAUUGUUGCUUCAAACACAGGUUUUUUUGAGUAUGUUUCUUCAACCCUAGAUCAGAUUUCAUUCCUCAUUCAGCCCGCUCACUCAUGUCGUUUAUUCUCUCUGCGAAAAUGUAGAACCGCCAUCGGUUACGUCCCUAAUCGGACUCGAACGCCAAAUAAUCGCCUUUUUCAGCCUAAUUGGACUCCAGCCGUCGUCCGCCGCUGGCCGCCGUCGUUGUUAUACAUUUGCAGUUGCCGCUUAGCGGCUCCAUCUUUAUAGGUGAAAUACGGAACUUUUGUUUUGGAGAUCAAAGGCUCAGUACCAUUUUUUUGCACUUGGAAGUAAUGCCAGGGCAUCUGAUUUUACAAGGAUAAUAUCAACAUUGUAGAUUUGUGAGGAUGGCGCCAAGACCAUGUCUACACGUGAAAGGAAGGUAUUUAAUGAAAUUCGCAGGCAACCUUCAUAACUUCCAAUGCCAAUGCUCUGACUACCCGCACCUAUGUCUGUUGUAGAUAUAUUUCUCCUUAAUAAUCACAAGAAGAUGAAUGCUUAUAAAAGUCCAAUGGUACUCAGGGUCGUUCUGAUGUUGCUUCUAUUGUUGAUGUAUGUUCUAUAAUAGGGAUAAGCAUUUGGUCCCGGGUACUGGUACCGAACCGAACCGGUAUAUUCGGUACCGGUACUGGUACCCAUUUUCUCCAUUUUUCGGUACUGGUACCGGUACGUACGGGUAACACACUGGUAAAUACCGGUACCGUACCGGUACCGGUACUGAACCGGUGUAUUCGGUACCGUUACUGAUACCACUUUUCUCCGUUUUUGAUACCGGUAUUUUCGGUACCGAACGGGUACCAUGCUCAUCC